CGUGGGUCUACAAACCUGUCACGCGGAUUGCAGAUGAAUGUGCGCUGUGCCACAGGUAUCGCUGACAGAAAACGAACUGAACCCCAGAGAGAGGCGCACACAAGUUUUCAAGAGACGCAGUAACGACAGUAACGACAGCAGCGACAGCGACUUCGGGGCCAACGUCCCUCAACUCGCAGACCUCCGAUCGAGGGGACAGGUGCCCACCGUUCAUUUCCUUAAAAACAGUCCGAAGGAAGAAGAAGAAGAAAAAAAAAGUAGAGAAAGUCUCUGCAGCAGGUUGCUUGCUGUACAAUAGCUGACGUGCAGCAGUCCGUGUGUAAGCGACAUGUGGCAAUUAGCCUGACGAGUCGUCAGGUGUGCUGGGAGCAGAACAGGUGAGCAAGGUGGGGUGUAGGGGGAGAGCGUGACGACUGUGGUUACGAAGGCGUGCUGUGAAAUUCACUUCAAGUCCCUCGGCGACCUGCACCGCCAGGCAGAGACACAGGUACAGGGAGAUAUGGACUGGAGUCACAGCAUGGACCACGACACCGACAAACAAGAGGCUCAUGAUCAUUCGUUUUUCCACGCGGGACACCGCGAGACAUUGCUGUUCUCCACUGCGGUCAUCUCGUCGGAAGAACAUCUGGCUGGGGCAUGUAUAGUCAUUUUCAUAGCUGCACUGGUACAUGAAGGCCUCAGGCUGCUGGUCAACUGGCUCCAGAUGUUUUCUGCUACACGUCCACCACGCAAGAUGGUCCGACUGGGGAUCCUGGGAUUGACUCAGACGGGAGCAUAUGUGGUGUACCUGUCCCUUAGCUACUGCUUGAUGCUGGUCUUCAUGACAAUGAACAUCUGGUUCUGUCUGGCACUGCUGCUUGGGGCUGGCACUGGUUAUCUGCUGUUCUUCUUUCACCCAGUGGCCAACCGGCUGUUAAACUCCCUCAGGCGUCAUCAAGAUAAAUAUGAGGACAUGAAAUCGGAGGUGACGACGAUAUAUGGGUCAAAUGAGAAACAAGCUGAUAACAUUGCCCUAGGUAAUGUGGGCAGUUGUCACUGAAGCAGUAUGCAUUUGUAAUUUUAACAUCUGUUCCUGGAAGUGACGUGAGCGAAGAAGCACCAGACUUCUUCUUGUAUGUGGAUUCAAUGGAGUGUUAAUGUUAAAGUACUUGUGCAAGCCAGGAAAAGGUGUGUAUGCAUGAAGUUUUGUAGUGAAAAUAAACAGAAUCAUGCAAAUCAUAUUUAUCUUCAUUAAUAUUCACUUUCACAAAAAACUAAUAUUACUCUUCUCCAAAAAUAUCCUCAAAUAUUUUUAUUUAUGACAAAAAUGUUGAAUAUAGUUUAUAAUUUUAAAUGCAUAAGUGUAAAUAAAUAGAAUCCUGUGGAUAACAUAAAAAUCUGUUCUAACCAACCUUGCCCCCUUGUCAGGGACCUUCUCACAACUUAUGAAGGGUACACAGACCCAGAAAAAUGGCAUUUCAAAAUUAUUUAGUGUGAAACAAUGCCUUUUCCUGCUGCAUUUCACAAACAUAAAAGAUGCCAAGAUACCUACUGUAAUCACUAUCAUGCAAUAAUCAUAAUGAUAUGUUCUUUUAAAAUCUCUCACAAAAUACUUUCUGUUCAGGGUAGAAUAUCUUCAUCAAUCUUUCUCUUUCUUUGUGCUUAAUAUUCCUUAAAUAAUUCAUCUGUUACUUGCAUUUGAAAACUGCAAUUGAGUUGACUGCAUUCUCAUAUGACUGAAGUGCACAUAUAAGACAAUAAACACAAAACACUGAAAUUAAAACAACAGAUUAGUGGGACAUCAACCAAAAUAUGCAUAUAUAGCUUUAGGGGGGGGGGGGCUGCCCAAAACUGGGUUUGCUGGCGAGGUGUUGUUGCGUCUCUAUGCUCCUCAAUGGAGCAACAAGGAAUAAACUAAACUAUAUAUAGCUUUUGCAUUUUCAGAUGAUGAUGCUGAAUCACAACCAUGGUUUUGUUUUUUUUGAAAAAUAUGCACUGAGUCAACAUAUUUUUAAUAAAUGUCCUGAUAUUUUCAUUUGUCCAAUGCUAGAACAGAAGAUUAAGCAACAUGACUACCUGGCAUCUCAACUACAAGGCUUAUUUGGUUCAUAUCUGUUAGUCACUGUUGCUGAUGCUGAUAAAAUAUAUAACACUGCAAAAACAUAUUAAACAUAUAAUUUAAAAAGAAAGUAACAUAGGGAGUAGUGUUACAAUGUAACAGUCCUCAAACCAAAUCACAAAUAACUUUCAAAAACAGAAAAAAAAAAGUUUUUCUCUCUCAUUCACAACACAGCCACACACCUCUAUGUUCAUGUGGCAAUGCACAAACUCUGUUACUGUCACUAUUUUAAGAUGCAGAUGAAGUGCAAGGACAAAUAAUUAUCCUUUGCAUCAGCGUGCAGCAGACACAUGCAAAUCAGUUUCAUAAGGCACAUUAAAAGAUCUUCCACUUACAGCAUGUCUUGAUUAUAAGAGCAGCCAAGCUUAUGCUUUCUACAGACCUAAUUUUUUAUAUUAAAAAAUAAAGCCUUGCACAAUGCUGCUAAAAUCCUAUAAACAUAGCAUAAAAGAGCUGAAUAUGUUAGCCAUACUGAUAUGUUUGUGCCAUUUUACAAAUCAAAAACAUUUUGGUUUGAUGUUAUUGGUAUCAAAGAUAUUUCUAUUUCACCUCAAAAUAAUAUCUGAAGA
Molecule: unclassified non-coding RNA, 2667 nt
Filed under: Pomacea canaliculata
Lineage: Eukaryota; Metazoa; Mollusca; Gastropoda; Architaenioglossa; Ampullariidae
Description: high affinity copper uptake protein 1-like, transcript variant X2
Source: RNAcentral